RNAcentral lists this transfer RNA (72 nucleotides) under Heterocephalus glaber (naked mole-rat). It matches the Rfam family "tRNA". From Rfam's summary of the family: Transfer RNA (tRNA) molecules are approximately 80 nucleotides in length. Their secondary structure includes four short double-helical elements and three loops (D, anti-codon, and T loops). Further hydrogen bonds mediate the characteristic L-shaped molecular structure. tRNAs have two regions of fundamental functional importance: the anti-codon, which is responsible for specific mRNA codon recognition, and the 3' end, to which the tRNAs corresponding amino acid is attached (by aminoacyl-tRNA synthetases). tRNAs cope with the degeneracy of the genetic code in two manners: having more than one tRNA (with a specific anti-codon) for a particular amino acid; and 'wobble' base-pairing, i.e. permitting non-standard base-pairing at the 3rd anti-codon position. The record is from Rfam by way of RNAcentral. Lineage: Eukaryota; Metazoa; Chordata; Mammalia; Rodentia; Bathyergidae.
CGGGAUGUAGUUCAGUGGCAGAGCACUUGCCUAGGAUGUAUGAGGCCUUGGGUUUGAUCCCUAGCAUCCCCC